Molecule: long non-coding RNA, 2462 nt
Filed under: Gossypium barbadense (sea-island cotton)
Lineage: Eukaryota; Viridiplantae; Streptophyta; Magnoliopsida; Malvales; Malvaceae
Description: long non-coding RNA (GBAR_LNC007672)
Source: RNAcentral
UUAAACUCGCAGAAGCAUUUUGAAAACUUUGUUGUUGGAAGCUCGUAUUCCUUAGAAAAAUCAUGCCAUUUUGAAAUCUCGAGUUUUCCUAGACUAGUAGUUUAGUAUAAGAAAUCACAAUCCAAAUUAAAUUAUUUAAAACCCACCAACGGUCUUGUUACAUAAAAAAACCCAAAACGAAAUCUAAUUGCAAUUAAAAGAAACAAAAACAGUAGUGUGGUCAUCUCUGAGUCCCUCGCAGCUCCAAACCAUCUAAGCUUAGGGAUUACCUGCACAGUUAGAAACGGGGUGAGUUUAUGAAAACUCAGUGUGUAAUCCCAAACAACAAACAAACAGUGAAUAACACAGUAUCAGUACAAUCUGGGCCAAAGCCCUAUUUAGUCUUGACAUAUACUGGGCCGAAGCCUUUCGUUUAACAGUUACUGGGCCGAAGCCUUUUCAUAAAUCAUAUCACUAGGCCGAAGCCUUUUCAUAAAUCAUAUCACUGGGCCGAAGCCUUUACUAUAAACGGUAUGGCCCUUAGGCCCAUUUCAAUAUCACAUGUAAUGUCAAUGGAUGUAUGCAAGCCCAUUUGGGGAGACUACUCAACCCACCAUCCGCUACUCUCCACCCGUACCAACCAAGCUCUCCAUGUGGAGAAUAACUCAACCCACCCAACCAAACUCUCCACUGGCAGCAUAGCUGCUUUAUCAUAUAUCUGGAGGCCUAGCCUCUUUUAAUAACUUGGGCAAAGCCCUUUUCAAUAAACUGGGGCAUAAGCCCUUUUGCACUUCCUCCAUCCAUAUAAAAACCCAACCCAAUGCAUUUAUGAAUACAUCAUGUGCAUUUCAUACAUAUCAUGUGCAUUUCAUAUAUAUCAUGUGCAUUUUAUACAUAUCAUGUGCAUAUCAUAUCAAUCAUGUAUAUCAUAUCCCACGUAUCAAAUUUAUAAUUAAACCCUAGGGGUAUAAUGGUUAUUUUUACCUAGGGGCAAAACAGUCAUUUUCAUACUAUAAGGGUAAUUUCAUAAUUUUACCAAAUAUUAGGGUUUUUCAUGUUCAUUACAAUUGUUAAUAUUUUCGAGUGUUUAAACAAUGAUCUUUAACCCACUUUAUCAAAUUCGAGCUUUUGGGCCCAAAACCUCUAAUGGGCCCUACGAAUGCCAAUUUAGCCCACUAAGCCUGCUUAAUCCAAAUUUUACAACAGUACUAACCGUGUUAACAUGCAACUUUUCCAAAUUCCAUUUUCUAUCAAUUUUACCCAAAUGGGCCCAAAAGCCCAUUUGGCCCAAUUCCUGCCCAUUGACGCCCAACUUACCAUCGUGCACAAAUUGAGUUCUUACCCGUUCCAUCGAUCCAAACACCGAUCAUAUCGUAUUUAUCGCAUCUAUACCCAUACGCAACAUUACAAGUUCCCGAAAUACCGGUAUUUUAGCAUUUCGGCUUCUCAGCAGAUAUUAAUCUAAGCUAUUACGAGGGUUAGUACACACCUAUUACGGGUUGAAGUUUAAACGUUUCCAUAAUCAAUCACCUACGAUAACCACCACGUAUCACUCAAACUUAACUAAUCCAAUAUCAAUAUAUGUAAAUCCUAAGCACAUCAGUCAUACGGAACAUAAGGGUAUAUUCAUCAUUUUACCAUACAAAGGUAUUACGGUCACUUUAUCCUAUAGGGGCUUUACGGUCUUUUUACCUAUUAGGGGUAUUUUAGUCAUUUCAUCCUACAAGGGUGUUUCGGUAAAUCUACAAACCAAGGGUAUUUCAGUAAUUUUGUAAACGAAUGGUAUUUCUAUAAUUUUUAGAAAGUCAAGGGUAUUUCUAUAAUUUUGUAAAUCAGGGGUAUUUUGGUAAUUUUACAAAUUGAAGGUAUUUCGGUAAUUUCACAAACCAAUGGUAUUUUGGUAAUUUUACAAACUAGGGGUGUUUUGGUAAUUCUACCCUAUAGGGGUAUUUCAGUAAUUUCACAAUCGAGGGUAAAACGGUAAUUUUGUAAAUCAAGGGUAAAACAUUAAUUCUGUAAAUCGAGGGUCAAACAGUAAUUCUGUAAAUCGAGGGUAAAAUGGUAAUUCUAUAAAUCGAGGGUAAAACGGUAAUUUUUACAAGUCGAGGGCAUUUCAAUAAUUGGUAAACUAGAGUAUUCUAAACAUGGAUAACAAUACAAAUGGGCCUAAAGCCUAUUCUCGGGCCAAAUGGGCCCACACGCUCGUGUGGCCCUUUUAGCCCUAAUCUAGCCACAAAUAUGAGAUUCACCUAGCCUAGUCCAAUAUUUACUACAUAAUGAAACAACUUAUCCAAUUGGGUCCGUAGGCCCAUUAGGCCCACAUGACCCCUUUCGGUCCGAAGUAGCUAUCCUAUAGCUAGAGUAGUGAGAAAUACACACCUGAUAGGAGACUGGAGUUAACCCACACUUCGAGCACUCUUAGCCGAUGCCGAACCCAAACGAGCACGCCAUACAGCGAAAGGGAUCAACUAAGAAAAGGUACC